Molecule: ribosomal RNA, 232 nt
Filed under: uncultured bacterium
Lineage: Bacteria
Description: partial 16S ribosomal RNA
Rfam family: Bacterial small subunit ribosomal RNA
Source: RNAcentral
CACGCCGUAAACGUUGAGAACUAAGUGUUGGGGAGACCCAGUGCUGAAGCUAACGCAUUAAGUUCUCCGCCUGAGGAGUACGCACGCAAGUGUAAAACUUAAAGGAAUUGACAGGGGCCCGCACAAGCAGUGGAGCAUGUGGUUUAAUUCGAGGCUACGCGAAGAACCUUACCAGGGCUUGACAGGAAACUUAAGACCCUAGAGAUAGGGGGAUAAUAAGUGAAACAGGUGG